AUGCACAGGCUCGCUCGUCGGCACGGCCCCGUCAUGCUUCUCCGUCUCGGCCAUGUCCCAACGCUCGUGCUCUCCUCCGCCGAGGCAGCCAGGGAGGUCAUGAAGGUCAACGACGCCGCCUUCACCGACCGCCCCGUGUACGCCACCACACACAUCUUCACCUACGACGGUGAGGACAUCUCCUUUGCGCGCCACAGCAGUAGGUACUGGAAGUCCAUCCGAAAGCUCUGCGCCGUCGAGCUGCUGAGCCCGAGGCGGGUCCGGUCGUUCUGCCGUGUCCAGGAGGAGGAGGCGGUGAUGAUGAACGAUGUGGUCAUGAGGGCGUCCGUCGACGACAGGUGCACGCAGCAGGGCGCGUACCUACGGGAGUUGGACAAGGUGCUGGACCUCAUGUCCGGGUUUAACCUCAUCGACCUGUUCCCGACGUCGUGCCUCGCCCGGGCUAUCGGUGGCCAGGCUCUCAGAGCGACGUGGGAGGUGCACCGGAGAAUCCACUCCAUCAUGGACGCCAUGAUCAGCGAUCACAGAACAGCUAUGGAGGAUGAGGAGGACAAUGAUGUCGGCCGUGAGCAGAGGGGCGACAUACUCACUACUCUGCUCUAUUUCCAGAGGGACAACGAGAUUGGCGGCGUCGCCCUCACCAAUGAAAACAUGAGCGACAUCCUCUUCGACCUUUUCGCUGUGGGAUCGGAGACGACAGCCACAACAACAAUUUGGGCAAUGUCCGAGCUGAUGAGGAGCCCACACAUAAUGGCUGCCACACAGUCUGAAGUUCGAGGAGUCCUCCACGGUAAGACUGAGGUGACUGAGGCUGACAUCGAUGGCCUGCUGCACUACCUGCAGAUGGUCAUCAAGGAGACCUUCAGGGACGAGAAUAGCUGGACUAAUGCGAGUGAGUUCAUGCCCAAGAGGUUUGACGAUGAAAAGGUUGAUUAUGGUGGUACGGACUUCAGAUUCCUCCCUGGCAGCACUGGACGGAGAAUGUGCCCUGGUAUGAUGUUUGGAGUGUCAAACAUCGAGAUGGCUCUUGUGAGCCUUCUCUAUCACUUUGACUAG
This 1056-nucleotide ribosomal RNA is filed under the name Triticum aestivum (bread wheat). RNAcentral's name for it is "partial small subunit ribosomal RNA". The record is from RNAcentral. Lineage: Eukaryota; Viridiplantae; Streptophyta; Magnoliopsida; Poales; Poaceae.